AAUUUUGGACAAUGGGCGAAAGCCUGAUCCAGCAAUGCCGCGUGAGCGAAGAAGGUCUUCGGAUCGUAAAGCUCUGUUGUUAGGGAAGAACAAGUAUCGUUCGAAUAGGGCGGUCCCUUGACGGUACCUAACCGGAAAGCCCCGGCUAACUACGUGCCAGCAGCCGCGGUAAUACGUAGGUGGCAAGCGUUAUCCGGAAUUAUUGGGCGUAAAGCGCGCGCAGGCGGUCCUUUAAGUCUGAUGUGAAAGCCCACGGCUCAACCGUGGAGGGUCAUUGGAAACUGGGGGACUUGAGUGCAGAAGAGGAGAGCGGAAUUCCACGUGUAGCGGUGAAAUGCGUAGAGAUGUGGAGGAACACCAGUGGCGAAGGCGGCUCUCUGGUCUGUAACUGACGCUGAGGCGCGAAAGCGUGGGGAGCGAACAG
Molecule: ribosomal RNA, 424 nt
Filed under: uncultured bacterium
Lineage: Bacteria
Description: partial 16S ribosomal RNA
Rfam family: Bacterial small subunit ribosomal RNA
Source: RNAcentral